This 544-nucleotide unclassified non-coding RNA is filed under the name Hevea brasiliensis (rubber tree). The record is from RNAcentral. Lineage: Eukaryota; Viridiplantae; Streptophyta; Magnoliopsida; Malpighiales; Euphorbiaceae.
GCAUGGUAACUUGCUGCUGUCUGAGAUCAAAGUAAAAGUGCAGAGUUUAGUAAAAAUGAGGAACACACAAACAAGCAGCUCUUUAUCUAGCAUUUAUAAAGCAUAAAAUGAAGUUUCAGUGUUUGUGCAUUUAUUGAAAUGAUGUAGCAAAGUGCUGAUAGAAUAAUAGAAGUGUUAUUAGUACAUAACAAAGUUCUCCAUUAUGCUUAACAGAAAGAUCCCUAAUUUGAUCUUCAAUUCAUCCCCCAUUUCUGGUAUUUUGUUCUCUUAAAGAGUAUGGAGCAAUUUUAAGGCAAACUAAUAAUUCACAUAAAGCAUAACUUCCCCAUAGUGUUGGCAAUCAAGAGUUAAAGCUCCCUCCUUCUCCUCUCACCCUUCAACCAAAAAGGAGAAGAAAAGAGAGUUUUGGGAGAGAGCAGGGGAAAGGAUGUAUCUUCAAAUAUUUAACCCACCAAGAAAGUAGAAGAGCCUUUUGCAAAAAAUAUGAGAUUGAUGAACCCCAGCCAAGACAAAACAGAACCUGAAUAUGAUCUGGACCAAGUAA